CGAACGGUCGCGUAACACGUAAGCAACCUGCCCCGAAGACCGGGACAACAGUGGGAAACCGCUGCUAAUACCGGAUGUGGCCAUUGGGGGACAUCCCCUGGUGAUUAAAUCAAGCAAUUGGCUUCGGGAGGGGCUUGCGGCCUAUCAGCUAGUUGGUGGGGUAACGGCCUACCAAGGCGACGACGGGUAGCUGGUCUGAGAGGACGGCCAGCCGGACUGGGACUGAGAUACGGCCCAG
Molecule: ribosomal RNA, 238 nt
Filed under: uncultured bacterium
Lineage: Bacteria
Description: partial 16S ribosomal RNA
Rfam family: Bacterial small subunit ribosomal RNA
Source: RNAcentral